GGAGCGGAGCGGACGACGUGUAAAGAGCGUCGGAGCUGCGACUCGCCUGAAAGGGAGCGAAGCUGGCCGAGCGAACUAGACUUUUUUUCAGGGGACGCUUGGCGGCCGAGAGCGAGUGUUGCGAGACAACAAAAAGCUCGACCUCAAAUCAGGUAGGAAUACCCGCUGAACUUAAGCAUAUCAAUAAGCGGAGGAAAAGAAACCAACAGGAUUGCCUCAGUAGCGGCGAGUGAAGCGGCAAGAGCUCAGAUUUGAAAUCGUGCUUUGCGGCACGAGUUGUAGAUUGCAGGUUGGAGUCUGUGUGGAAGGCGGUGUCCAAGUCCCUUGGAACAGGGCGCCCAGGAGGGUGAGAGCCCCGUGGGAUGCCGGCGGAAGCAGUGAGGCCCUUCUGACGAGUCGAGUUGUUUGGGAAUGCAGCUCCAAGCGGGUGGUAAAUUCCAUCUAAGGCUAAAUACUGGCGAGAGACCGAUAGCGAACAAGUACUGUGAAGGAAAGAUGAAAAGCACUUUGAAAAGAGAGUGAAACAGCACGUGAAAUUGUUGAAAGGGAAGGGUAUUGCGCCCGACAUGGGGAUUGCGCACCGCUGCCUCUCGUGGGCGGCGCUCUGGGCUUUCCCUGGGCCAGCAUCGGUUCUUGCUGCAGGAGAAGGGGUUCUGGAACGUGGCUCUUCGGAGUGUUAUAGCCAGGGCCAGAUGCUGCGUGCGGGGACCGAGGACUGCGGCCGUGUAGGUCACGGAUGCUGGCAGAACGGCGCAACACCGCCCGUCUUGAAACAUGGACCACGGAGUCUAACGUCUAUGCGAGUGUUUGGGUGUGAAACCCGUACGCGUAAUGAAAGUGAACGUAGGUCGGACCCCCUGCCCUCGGGGAGGGG
This 874-nucleotide ribosomal RNA is filed under the name Pichia kudriavzevii. RNAcentral's name for it is "LSU rRNA". The stretch from base 139 to 874 matches the Rfam family "Eukaryotic large subunit ribosomal RNA", at positions 1 to 755 of the family's 3401-position model. Lineage: Eukaryota; Fungi; Ascomycota; Pichiomycetes; Pichiales; Pichiaceae. The record is from RNAcentral.